GCCAAUUGCUUUUAGAUUAGCACUGCCCCCACUUACCGGGUGUGUCCUCUCCUCUGGUGUGUGACACUGUGACACACGUUUCUCUCCAAUCUCCAAGAUAUCUUGGUAGACUUAGGCUGAGGUUUCGUUUCAUGGACCUAAUUAGUUAUUCCAUGUUCUUUUGUGAGUUCACGUCUGCCUUUUUGCGAAUUUACUUCGUAGCUAAUUUAUGUAAUUGCAACUUUUUUUUUAAGCAACUCUUUUUUUUUCCGGGUAAAAGGGAUCUAUUAAUCAAUUCAACACAUUACAAUCUUGGAGAGCCAGGUCAACCACCGGUGGCGGACCGGACCCCAACCAAGUCUCCGUCCGAUGCACAACUCUGGCUAAGUUUGUGAGCAUAUGACCAACACGAUUCUGAGAUCUAUCCCUUUUAACAAACGACAAACUUCUACCCUGAGAAACUAAAUUUCUAAUCUCAUUAACUUAGGUCGCAUAAUCAGACCUAUCCAAACCUUUCGCACGCCCAUCCGUCAGCACAAACGAGCGGUCCAUUUCGACGAUGACCGGCAGCUCACUCCACUGCAGUGCCAAGGCGAUGCCUUCCAUGCAGGGACAGAGUUCAGCCUCCACUGGGUUGCAGCGCUGAAGAACACGAUAGGAGGAAAAGAAUAUCUCCCCUGAUCAUCGCGGAGAAUCAUGCCCAUACCGGCCCCUUGUGGAUCCUUUGAGAACGAGCCAUCAAUGUUCAGUUUCACCAUGCCCGGCGGGGGCUUACGCCAGGUCUUCAGAACAGCACAG
RNAcentral lists this long non-coding RNA (777 nucleotides) under Brachypodium distachyon (stiff brome). RNAcentral describes it as "long non-coding RNA (BDIS_LNC004019)". Lineage: Eukaryota; Viridiplantae; Streptophyta; Magnoliopsida; Poales; Poaceae. The record is from RNAcentral.